GACAGAGGGUGCAAACGUUGUUCGGAAUUACUGGGCGUAAAGCGCGUGUAGGCUGCUCUGCAAGUCGGAUGUGAAAGCCCUGGGCUCAACCUAGGAAGUGCAUUCGAAACUGCAGAGCUGGAGUCCUGGAGAGGAAGGUGGAAUGCUUGGUGUAGAGGUGAAAUUCGUAGAUAUCGGGAGGAACACCAGUGGCGAAGGCGACUACCUGGCCUGUUCUUGACGCUGAGGCGCGAAAGCUAGGGGAGCAAACGGG
Molecule: ribosomal RNA, 253 nt
Filed under: uncultured bacterium
Lineage: Bacteria
Description: partial 16S ribosomal RNA
Rfam family: Bacterial small subunit ribosomal RNA
Source: RNAcentral